UGGUCCUUUAAGAACAGUCCUGUGAGGCUGGAAAGGUAACGGAAUAUACAUGCGAGACAUGUAUCUUAUACCCCUUUUCUGCCUCUGUGCAGAAAAGGGGUUUUUAA
This is a non-coding RNA of Halobacillus mangrovi, 107 nucleotides long. NCBI's taxonomy places the organism in Bacteria, Bacillati, Bacillota, Bacilli, Caryophanales, Bacillaceae. The record is from Rfam.